This 618-nucleotide unclassified non-coding RNA is filed under the name Hevea brasiliensis (rubber tree). The record is from RNAcentral. Lineage: Eukaryota; Viridiplantae; Streptophyta; Magnoliopsida; Malpighiales; Euphorbiaceae.
AAAAAAAAAAAAAAAGAGAAGAAAUUAUCGUCAAAAUUCCUCUGCCACAAUUUCUUCUCACAGGCUAGACUUGCUUCCUUUCAUUUCCAUCCAGCUACAACCCCUCACACUGGCUCUUUACCACGUGGGAUUUCUUUUUUAUUUUAUUUUUUGACACGUGGUACUGUCAUGUAAGCUUUUUACUGGAAAUCUAACCAGAUUAUGAUGAGAGAGAUUUUAGUGUAACAUUUUCGAAGUUUCGGGAUUUUAGUGUAGCAUUUUUGAAGUUUAGGAAUUUUGUGAUAACAAAAUGAAGGUGAAGGACAGAAGUGAAACAGCCCCAAAGCUGAGGGAUGGUUGAUAAAAUUACCCAAUAAAUUUAUCAUAUGAUAUAUAUAGAAAUUAUAUUAUGGAUUUAAAUUGUUGAAGUUGUUAAAAUUGGAAUUUGCUUUUGUUCUAAAUAAUUAUGAUUUUGAAAUUAUUUUUAGGAUCAAAUUUCUUCCUAAGAUUAUCAUGUGAUUCUUCCUUUGACUUUUCAUUGUUUGUUUCAUUAAAUGGAUGGGGUAAUUGAAAAAUCAAUUUCGGACUUUCAGAAGAUCGUCAUUCUCUUUCUUCUUGUUGUAUGAAAAUUGCCUUGUU